Molecule: ribosomal RNA, 490 nt
Filed under: uncultured bacterium
Lineage: Bacteria
Description: partial 16S ribosomal RNA
Rfam family: Bacterial small subunit ribosomal RNA
Source: RNAcentral
CUUUCCCUCUUCCCUCCGGCCUAACACAUGCAAGUCGAACGGUAACAGGAAACAGCUUGCUGUUUCGCUGACGAGUGGCGGACGGGUGAGUAAUGUCUGGGAAACUGCCUGAUGGAGGGGGAUAACUACUGGAAACGGUAGCUAAUACCGCAUAACGUCGCAAGACCAAAGAGGGGGACCCUCGGGCCUCUUGCCAUCGGAUGUGCCCAGAUGGGAUUAGCUUGUUGGUGGGGUAACGGCUCACCAAGGCGACGAUCCCUAGCUGGUCUGAGAGGAUGACCAGCCACACUGGAACUGAGACACGGUCCAGACUCCUACGGGAGGCAGCAGUGGGGAAUAUUGCACAAUGGGCGCAAGCCUGAUGCAGCCAUGCCGCGUGUAUGAAGAAGGCCUUCGGGUUGUAAAGUACUUUCAGCGGGGAGGAAGGGAGUAAAGUUAAUACCUUUGCUCAUUGACGUUACCCGCAGAAGAAGCACGGGCUAGCUCCGUG